Perognathus longimembris pacificus (Pacific pocket mouse) is the source of this 1235-nucleotide long non-coding RNA. RefSeq lists it as uncharacterized. The record is from RefSeq and is a predicted model, not a curated record. The transcript has 3 exons. NCBI's taxonomy places the organism in Eukaryota, Metazoa, Chordata, Mammalia, Rodentia, Heteromyidae.
CUCAGCACACAGGCACUGAGAGAGUGCGAUGGGGGGGAUGAGACUGUGGCCUUUGAUUGAAGGAAGGGCUGCCUGGUGGGAGCUGGACUCGCUGCCCUGCACUCUCUGCUUCCACAGCUAGCCGCUCUUCAUCGAUAGUUUUUUAUUUUGUUUUAUUUUAUUUUAAAAGCGAACGGUAGCCCAGUCUGGGCCUCAGCUCUAACCUCCACAGCUAGCCUAUGGGAGAGUCUCAGGCUCUUACUUCCUCCUGCCUCUUCUGAGGAAAACCAGAAAAGGGUUCCGUCAUUUGUGGGGCUCAUUUCUCUGACACGGACGCAUAGGCAUGAACAUCUUAUAGUGACAGCUGGAUGUAUUUCCCCAAAUGAACACCCUGGGACGGACGGCCCGCCCUCCCAGGGUCUCCCCGAGCCCUGCUCCUCACAGCCUGGCUCACUCUGCCUGCUUUCCACUUUACGUAACAGGGAGCAGACGGCCCUCCAGUGCGUCUGCAAGCCCUGCGGUAUUUUACAACCCCGAACAUGAUAACAUGUUUUCUACUUCCUGGUAGGAGCCAACUCCCUGGGGCCUGCCUGCUGUAAUCCCCAGAAAAUGUUUGUCCUGCUAAAUAAACAGCCACGCUCUCCAUGGCGACGGUUGGGUAAGCAAGGAAAAUGUGGCAGGGCUGUCCAAAUAUGGAGGGGAAGGAGGCCUGCGGGUGAGGCGGGUCCUAGCCUCACCAGCACUCACCUACAUGCCUCUCCGCCCUGAAGGGCAAAAUAAUGUAAAGAUGGUGGCCAGGCCUCCGCAUUCAGGGUCAGAGCUGUCCUGCAUGCAAGUUUAUUCGAGGAGGCCCAGCAUUCUUCUCUAAUGAGCCUGCGCUGUUCUUAUUUUAUGCAGCGUCCAAGCAAGUGGUCCUGAUUUUCGACACUGCCCACUCUGCCAGGGGCACCAGCCUCCGACCACCAAGCCAAGCGGCCACUGCCUGUCCCUGGCUGCACUGCUCACCUGCUGCUUCUCAUUUGCUGUUGACCUGGAAAUGCCGUGAGCACCCCAGACUGCACAUCAUAGGCAGAAAGACUUGAGAUGCAGACCAGCUCUCCGGAGGGCAGUGCUGGCCCCAGGGAAAGGCAGCAGGGGCCCCGGGCUAUGUACAUGCUAGUUGCCUCCUGGAUGAGCAGAUGGGCAGUGUCCCAAGAGCACAGGACACAGGGCUAUCUAUAAAACUGCUUAUCCAAAAGUGUAUUUACAGGGGCCAG